UCCGAGCGCACUAACCCUCGGGUUGGUGAGCGCCCGCCAGAGUCCAACCAAACUCUUGUAUUAAACCAGUCGUCUGAGUAUAAAAUUUUAAUUAAAUUAAAACUUUCAACAACGGAUCUCUUGGUUCUCGCAUCGAUGAAGAACGCAGCGAAAUGCGAUAAGUAAUGUGAAUUGCAGAAUUCAGUGAAUCAUCGAAUCUUUGAACGCACAUUGCGCCCCUUGGUAUUCCGAGGGGCAUGCCUGUUCGAGCGUCAUUACACCACUCAAGCAUCGCUUGGUAUUGGGAACGGUCCGUCGAAAGGCGGGCCUUCCUCGAAGACCUCGGCGGGGUUCAACCAACUUCGGGCGUAGUAGAGUUAAAUCGAACGUCUUAUAAGCUUGGUCGGAUCUCAUUGCCGUUAAACCUUUAAAUUUUCUAGGUUGACCUCGGAUCAGGUAGGGAUACCCGCUGAACUUAAGCAUAUCAAUAAGCGGAGGAAAAGAAACCAACAGGGAUUGCCCUAGUAACGGCGAGUGAAGCGGCAAUAGCUCAAAUUUGAAAGCUGGCCUUUGGUCCGCAUUGUAAUUUGUAGAGGAUGCUUUUAGGCAGCCGCCGGUCUAAGUUCCUUGGAACAGGACGUCAUAGAGGGUGAGAAUCCCGUAUGUGACCGGCUCAGGCACCUUCUGUAAAGCUCCUUCGACGAGUCGAGUUGUUUGGGAAUGCAGCUCUAAAUGGGAGGUAAAUUUCUUCUAAAGCUAAAUACUGGCGAGAGACCGAUAGCGCACAAGUAGAGUGAUCGAAAGAUGAAAAGUACUUUGGAAAGAGAGUUAAAAAGCACGUGAAAUUGUUGAAAGGGAAGCGCUUGCAAUCAGACUUGGCCUCGGUU
RNAcentral lists this ribosomal RNA (866 nucleotides) under Dothideomycetes sp. genotype 653 JMUR-2016. Its description in RNAcentral is "eukaryotic LSU rRNA". The stretch from base 422 to 866 matches the Rfam family "Eukaryotic large subunit ribosomal RNA", at positions 1 to 446 of the family's 3401-position model. The record is from RNAcentral. Lineage: Eukaryota; Fungi; Ascomycota; Dothideomycetes.